Molecule: unclassified non-coding RNA, 406 nt
Filed under: soil metagenome
Description: partial contains 5.8S ribosomal RNA, internal transcribed spacer 2, and large subunit ribosomal RNA
Rfam family: 5.8S ribosomal RNA (bases 1-121)
Source: RNAcentral
GAUGAAGAACGUAGUGAAAUGCGAUAAGUAAUGUGAAUUGCAGAAUUCAGUGAAUCAUCGAAUCUUUGAACGCACCUUGCGCCCUUUGGCCAUUCCGAAGGGCAUGCCUGUUUGAGUAUCAUGAACACCUCAACUCUUCAUGGUUUUCCAUGAUGAGCUUGGACUUUGGGGGUCUUGCUGGCCUGUGGGUCGGCUCCUCUCGAAUGAAUCAGCUUGCCGGUUUUUGGUGGGCAUCACAGGUGUGAUAACUAUCUACGCUUGUGGUUUUCCACCAGGGUAACCUUCAGCAGUGGAGGUUCACUGGAGCUUACAAAUGUCUCUCCUCUGUGAGGACAGCCCUUUGAAUGUUUGAUCUCAAAUCAGGUAGGACUACCCGCUGAACUUAAGCAUAUCAAUAAGCGGAGGA